CUACGGGGGGCACCAGUGAGGAAUAUUGCGCAAUGGGGGAAACCCUGACACAGCGACGCCGCGUGGAUGAUGAAGGCCUUCGGGUCGUAAAAUCCUGUCAGAAGGAAAGAAGUGUAUGGUAGCUAAUAUCUGCCAUACUUGACGGUACCUUCAAAGGAAGCACCGGCUAACUCCGUGCCAGCAGCCGCGGUAAUACGGAGGGUGCAAGCGUUGUUCGGAAUUACUGGGCGUAAAGCGCGCGUAGGCGGUUUUAUAAGUCAGAUGUGAAAGUCCACGGCUCAACCAUGGAAGUGUAUUUGAACUGUAAGACUUGAGUAUUGGAGGGGGUAGUGGAAUUCCCGGUGUAGAGGUGAAAUUCGUAGAUAUCGGGAGGAAUACCGGUGGCGACGGCGUCUAUCUGGCCAAAUACUGACGCUGAGGUGCGAAAGCGUGGGGAGCAAACAGGAUUAGAUACCCUUGUAGUC
Molecule: ribosomal RNA, 464 nt
Filed under: uncultured bacterium
Lineage: Bacteria
Description: partial 16S ribosomal RNA
Rfam family: Bacterial small subunit ribosomal RNA
Source: RNAcentral